GGAAGGUGCGGCUGGAUCACCUCCUUUCUAAGGAGCACCACGAAAAGCACACCAAUUGGUGGUGUGCGAGCCGUGAGGGGUUCUCGUCUGUAGUGGACGAAAACCGGGUGCACAACAGCAAAUAAUUGCCAGACACACUAUUGGGCCCUGAGACAACACUCGGUCGAACCGUGUGGAGUCCCCCCAUCUUGGUGGUGGGGUGUGGUGUUUGAGUAUUGGAUAGUGGUUGCGAGCAUCUAGAUGAACGCCGUAGUCCUUCGGGGCUGACGAGUUCAUCGAAAUGUGUAAUUUCUUUUUUGGUUUUUGUGUGUAAGUAAGUGUUUAAGGGCGCAUGGUGGAUGCCUUGGCGAA
Molecule: unclassified non-coding RNA, 351 nt
Filed under: Mycobacterium intracellulare
Lineage: Bacteria; Bacillati; Actinomycetota; Actinomycetes; Mycobacteriales; Mycobacteriaceae
Description: partial contains 16S ribosomal RNA, 16S-23S ribosomal RNA intergenic spacer, and 23S ribosomal RNA
Source: RNAcentral